Molecule: long non-coding RNA, 918 nt
Organism: Heterocephalus glaber (naked mole-rat)
Lineage: Eukaryota; Metazoa; Chordata; Mammalia; Rodentia; Bathyergidae
Source: Ensembl
AAGAAAUUCUUGCUAGUCUAUUGUCUACAUAAUCUUGAUCUGUCUUGGACUGAAGAACAUUGCACUUAGCCCAAUACCAAGCACAAAUAAGUCCUUAUGAAACACAUUCAAUAAUGAAAAUCAGCCAAUAAAACAUUCUGUUAACUUUGUAAUGCAUGCCUCACCACAAAACACAGAGCAUGAAUAGUCUUGACUCGGGAGCAUUUUACAACUUAUUUCUGAUUAACUUUAUGUAUUUUUCAUGGGUGGAAAACAAAGAUAUAGGUGGCAUAUAAAGAAAUAAAUAGUUCUUAACAAAGAAGAUGUCUAAAGGAAGAUGAUUGUAAUACCAAGGAACACCAGAGUCUUUAUCAAUAUUACCAUAGUCAUAACCAUCUUUCUUUGAGAUCAUCAUUUAGCUUUGUAAGUGAUCUUCUUACUUUUCUUCUUCUCUCCUUAUUAUCUGCCCAUUACUGAACAGUCACAUUCCUCUCUGGUAAACAUAAAUCAAACCAGUCUUUCCCAGUUAAAAUCUUCUAAAGGCCACCAACCCACUCAGAGUAAAACCUAAACUUCUUAAACUAAUUGGGAAAGGAGACUGCUAUUGUUCAAAAGGAGUUGGAAGAAGAAGUAAUGAUUACAAGAGGAGAAUAAUCUAUUCAUCUGUUUUGUUCUUGAGAAACUUUCUUGGACAAAACAAAGCUUACUUUAUCCAGUGCUUGUCUGACCCACUAGACUCAGCUCUGCUCAAGAUUGUCUAAUCUGAUGUUCCGGAAUUGAGAUAAUUUCUACUUGAAGAUGUCCCAACAGCUGUUUGGUAGUACAAGUUCCACCAAACACACCAAUGAUUGACAGUCCAGCUUAAAGAGAAAGACAGGAGAACUAGAGGGAUCACCCCCAGAAACAUGAAGAGUCCACACCUGAGGGGCCACAAAGGGC